AUUUAUAUAAUAUAAUAUAAUAUAAUUGAUUUCCAAUCAAAAAAUCUAUUAACUUAGUAUAAAUA
Molecule: transfer RNA, 65 nt
Filed under: Athalia arunachalensis
Lineage: Eukaryota; Metazoa; Arthropoda; Insecta; Hymenoptera; Athaliidae
Also listed under: 1 other name
Description: tRNA-Gly
Source: RNAcentral